UACGUAGGGUGCGAGCGUUAAUCGGAAUUACUGGGCGUAAAGCGUGCGCAGGCGGUAAGUUAAGUCUGAUGUGAAAGCCCCGGGCUCAACCUGGGAAUGGCAUUGGAAACUGGCUUGCUAGAGUGUGGCAGAGGGGGGUGGAAUUCCGCGUGUAGCAGUGAAAUGCGUAGAGAUGCGGAGGAACACCGAUGGCGAAGGCGACCACCUGGACUGAUACUGACACUGAGGUGCGAAAGCGUGGGGAGCAAACAGG
Molecule: ribosomal RNA, 253 nt
Filed under: uncultured bacterium
Lineage: Bacteria
Description: partial 16S ribosomal RNA
Rfam family: Bacterial small subunit ribosomal RNA
Source: RNAcentral